RNAcentral lists this ribosomal RNA (455 nucleotides) under uncultured bacterium. RNAcentral describes it as "bacterial SSU rRNA". It matches the Rfam family "Bacterial small subunit ribosomal RNA", at positions 11 to 466 of the family's 1533-position model. The record is from RNAcentral.
GUUUGAUCCUGGCUCAGAUUGAACGCUGGCGGCAUGCUUUACACAUGCAAGUCGAACGGCAGCGGGGGCUUCGGCCUGCCGGCGAGUGGCGAACGGGUGAGUAAUGCAUCGGAACGUGCCCAUGUCGUGGGGGAUAACGUAGCGAAAGCUACGCUAAUACCGCAUACGCCCUGAGGGGGAAAGCGGGGGGAUUCUUCGGAACCUCGCGCGAUUGGAGCGGCCGAUGUCGGAUUAGCUAGUAGGUGAGGUAAAGGCUCACCUAGGCGACGAUCCGUAGCGGGUCUGAGAGGAUGAUCCGCCACACUGGGACUGAGACACGGCCCAGACUCCUACGGGAGGCAGCAGUGGGGAAUUUUGGACAAUGGGCGCAAGCCUGAUCCAGCCAUGCCGCGUGAGUGAAGAAGGCCUCGGUGUAAGACGUCUUCGUCCGGGUACGGAAAGUACGUAGGUCGUCU